Molecule: long non-coding RNA, 869 nt
Organism: Panicum hallii
Lineage: Eukaryota; Viridiplantae; Streptophyta; Magnoliopsida; Poales; Poaceae
Exons: 3
Source: RefSeq, a predicted model, not a curated record
AGAAGGCUGCCUGAAUACAAAAUUGGAGAACGGCAACCACGGAGUCGCGGCCACUGCUUCGCACCCGGUGCUGAUGUCGCGGAGGUGCAAACUGGAGAGCGGACGCGCGCCGAAAAGGGCAGCGUAGAGGCCCUAUGUGGACUCCAAGAGAGCCAUGGACGCCCUGGCAGCAAACGGACGCGGCGCAUCUCUCCCGCCCACGACACGCUCGAUGGAUUGCCAUACCCGCAUAGCAGCAGCAUCGGAGAGGAGGGAAGCAGAGCCGCUGCUUCCUGCUUUAUGCUUAGCCAAGUGAAGAGAAGAGGAACAGAGAGACAUCAGGCAGCGGAGAUAACAUGUUAAGGCCUCCCUGAUGCAGCCUUUGUCACUUAAGCCAGGGCACGUAUUGCAAUACUUAGAAUAUGCACAGCUUAUCGCUUGUCAGACAUAUCUACCUUUGAUUAUCCAUUAUCUUUCUCACAAAAUGAAUGUCCAGUAGCGUUCUGGGCGUCGUGGUUUGUUCAUGGCGCUGGCUGUUGGGGCUUUUCCAAUAUUUUGGAAUCCCUUGCUGAGGUGGGAGGUGGAGCUGUCCGGGCUCCGGCAAUGAAGAUGAAGAUUGGAUGAUAAAUAUUUUCCAACAAAUCCAUGUUCAUUUGGAUUAUGCACUCAAGAAUUUGAUAAGUCAAUGUUCAUUUGGAAAGUACUUUUAAGCUCUAGAAAGCGAGGCCUGUUUGUUGUCAGUUUUUUCACUUUCAGAAAUUGAUAAGCCAAUGUCCAGAUCUAAGAUACUUGGAGCCUAGACAUGUUAUUCUAUUAUUUUAAAUUUUUUGAAGCUGUGUCAACACAGAUAAUGCUUUCUGAAAGUGUUCUAGUCAUAAAUUUGGAGACCU